This 449-nucleotide ribosomal RNA is filed under the name uncultured bacterium. Its description in RNAcentral is "bacterial SSU rRNA". It matches the Rfam family "Bacterial small subunit ribosomal RNA", at positions 354 to 796 of the family's 1533-position model. The record is from RNAcentral.
GUCGAGAAUUUUUCACAAUGGGGGAAACCCUGAUGGAGCGACGCCGCGUGGAGGAUGAAGGUUUUCGGAUUGUAAACUCCUGUCAUUAGAGAACAAGGCACACGGUUUAACUGACCGUGUGUUGAUAGUAUCUGAAGAGGAAGAGACGGCUAACUCUGUGCCAGCAGCCGCGGUAAUACAGAGGUCUCAAGCGUUGUUCGGAUUCAUUGGGCGUAAAGGGUGCGUAGGUGGCGAUGUAAGUCGGAUGUGAAAUCUCCAAGCUUAACUUGGAAACUGCAUUCGAUACUGCGUUGCUAGAGGACUGUAGAGGGCAUUGGAAUUCACGGUGUAGCAGUGAAAUGCGUAGAUAUCGUGAGGAAGACCAGUGGCGAAGGCGAAUGCCUGGGCAGUUCCUGACACUGAGGCACGAAGGCCAGGGGAGCAAACGGGAUUAGAUACCCUGGUAGUCC